AGAAUCAACGCUGGCGGCGUGCCUAACACAUGCAAGUCGAACGAGAAAGUGGAGCAAUCCAUGAGUAAAGUGGCGCACGGGUGAGUAACACGUGACUAACCUACCCUUGAGUGGGGAAUAACCUAGGGAAACCUGGGCUAAUACCGCAUAACACCUACGGGUCAAAGGAGCAAUUCGCUUAAGGAGGGGGUCGCGGCAGAUUAGCUAGUUGGCGGGGUAAUGGCCCACCAAGGCAGUGAUCUGUAUCCGGCCUGAGAGGGCGCACGGACACACUGGAACUGAAACACGGUCCAGACUCCUACGGGAGGCAGCAGUGGGGAAUUUUGCGCAAUGGGGGAAACCCUGACGCAGCAACGCCGCGUGGAGGAUGAAGUCCCUUGGGACGUAAACUCCUUCGACCGGAAGAUUAUGACGGUACCGGAAGAACGAGCCCCGGCUAACUUCGUGCCAGCAGCCGC
Molecule: ribosomal RNA, 458 nt
Filed under: uncultured bacterium
Lineage: Bacteria
Description: SSU rRNA
Rfam family: Bacterial small subunit ribosomal RNA
Source: RNAcentral